AACGAACGCUGGCGGCGCGCUUAACACAUGCAAGUCGAACGAGAAGGCGUAGCAAUACGCUUGUAAAGUGGCGAACGGGUGAGGAAUACAUGGGUAACCUACCCUCGAGUGGGGGAUAACCCGCCGAAAGGCGGGCUAAUACCGCGUACGCUUCCGAUCUUGCGGGAUCGGAAGGAAAGCUGUCCCAAGGGGAUGGCGCUCAAGGAUGGGCUCAUGUCCUAUCAGCUUGUUGGUAGGGUAACGGCCUACCAAGGCAUCGACGGGUAGCUGGUCUGAGAGGACGAUCAGCCACACUGGCACUGCGACACGGGCCAGACUCCUACGGGAGGCAGCAGUGAGGAAUAUUGCGCAAUGGGCGAAAGCCUGACGCAGCGACGCCGCGUGGGGGA
RNAcentral lists this ribosomal RNA (389 nucleotides) under uncultured bacterium. RNAcentral describes it as "bacterial SSU rRNA". It matches the Rfam family "Bacterial small subunit ribosomal RNA", at positions 29 to 408 of the family's 1533-position model. The record is from RNAcentral.